CCUACGGGAGGCAGCAGUGAGGAAUAUUGGUCAAUGGGCGCGAGCCUGAACCAGCCAAGUAGCGUGAAGGAUGACUGCCCUACGGGUUGUAAACUUCUUUUAUAAAGGAAUAAAGUGAGGCACGUGUGCCUUUUUGUAUGUACUUUAUGAAUAAGGAUCGGCUAACUCCGUGCCAGCAGCCGCGGUAAUACGGAGGAUCCGAGCGUUAUCCGGAUUUAUUGGGUUUAAAGGGAGCGUAGAUGGGUUGUUAAGUCAGUUGUGAAAGUUUGCGGCUCAACCGCAAGAUUGCAAUUGAUACUGGCAGACUUGAGAUCAGAUGCGGUAGGCGGAAUGCGUGGUGUAGCGGUGAAAUGCUUAGAUAUCACGCAGAACUCCGAUUGCGAAGGCAGCCUACUAGACUGCCUCUGACAUUGAUGCUCGAAAGUGUGGGGAUCAAACAGGAUUAGAUACCCUUGUAGUC
RNAcentral lists this ribosomal RNA (460 nucleotides) under uncultured bacterium. RNAcentral's name for it is "partial 16S ribosomal RNA". It matches the Rfam family "Bacterial small subunit ribosomal RNA", at positions 338 to 795 of the family's 1533-position model. The record is from RNAcentral.